UGAUAUUUCCUUUGCUAAUUUCAGGUCUUCUUGUCCAGAGUUCAUGUUCUCCCGCUAUUUUGGGGAAGCGUUCGUGCAUCCCAGAGUCCCAUACGCCAGGCAAACAAAAAACAAAGCGGCAAAGAAAUAAUAAACGCAAAAGAGAAGCAAAAAAACAUUUUCAAAUGGAAAAAAUAAUGUGUGUCAAAAUGAGCAAGACCAAUGGCAGACUGUUGGACAACCGAAGAACAGACUUUAAUAAUGGGACUGUUUCAUAUUUGACAGGAUCAAUGACUGUCUGGUGGUGAAAAACCAUUUGUGCUUGUUGGAACUGUUUCUUGUAUUAUAGUCAGUUGGAGCAACUGGCAAUGACUCAGUAAACUUUUCCUUGGUUAAUUUUAGAUGUGUUAAAAUUUUUGCCAUUUCCACCAAGUUACCCAUACCAUUUGUUUGUAGCUUUAAAUAGCACCUGAAACUUGACAUUGCAUACUGUAGUCCACAUUGCUGCAGAAUGCCUUACUACGGAUGUAAAUAUAACACAGAUACAUGUACAGGCAUAAUACAGAUAGUGUCUCACACAAAUAGUGUACAGCAUUAUACCCAGGCAUUCACCAAGUCAAUGUUGAAAAUAAUAGUUCUGUGUAAAUUUUACCCCACCCAGGCC
Paramuricea clavata is the source of this 643-nucleotide non-coding RNA. The record is from the annotation of a GenBank genome assembly. Lineage: Eukaryota; Metazoa; Cnidaria; Anthozoa; Malacalcyonacea; Plexauridae.